RNAcentral lists this long non-coding RNA (7563 nucleotides) under Musa acuminata (dwarf banana). RNAcentral describes it as "long non-coding RNA (MACU_LNC006425)". The record is from RNAcentral. Lineage: Eukaryota; Viridiplantae; Streptophyta; Magnoliopsida; Zingiberales; Musaceae.
UGGUCGUUCAUAGAUGUUUUCGAGUUUUUGACAGGGUAUCAAUCUCGUUGCGGCUUGUACCAUGUGGAUUUUGAUGAUGAGAACCGUAAAAGAACGCCGAAGCUCUCUGCCAUUUGGUACUCUAAGCUUCUUGAAAGAAAGGAUGGCAUGAAACUGAACAAAACUGCAAUGGAUACAGAAUACUAUGCUCGGUGGUAACAUUCCUCCUCACAAGUCCUGUGUUAAAUAGAUUUAGAUCACACGAGUCAGUUUUCUCGUCUUGAGCAAAUACAGGCACUCAAAUUAGCUCAAUAAAAAAAAGGAUCUAAAACUGGUAGGACUGUGAAAAUAAAGUGGUCUACUCCUUCAUAUUAAGUGUUUUUGUAUGAGUUCAAGCAUGUCGUUCAAAAGUUCCUGCAGUGGUUUGAGUUAUAUUUCACCUCAUCCACAAAAACUGGAGUAUUGUUAUUGGACGAUCUAUAAUGCAGCACUUCUUGAAAGAAAGAUUUUACCAAAGAAAGGGAUGAUAAUGAACCUCGAUACUAGUUGUGAUGGAUGUGGAUAUCAUCUCCUUGAAUCUGCACGAAUCUUUAACCACCCCACUCCAUUAAACAGGCAUGAGAUUGUUCUGCAAGCUGCAUGCGCAAUUAAACUGAGACUGCUUGUCACUUGUGUUAGAGAUGCUUGCAAAAAGUGUGGCAGGGAAAUCAUACCUCUUAUUGUUGGAGAUGCUCUGAACUUAAAUGUAAUCUGUCUCCAAUUGCAUCUCCUUUCUUUCUCUGAAUGGUACAUUGAUCAAACAAGAAACCAGUCUCAAAGAAUUGAAAAGCUCCAAUGCAAAGAAAAAGAAAAUUUAUCAGAUGUUCGAGAAAGUAUAGCAUAAAAAAUAUAGAUCAAUUUUAAAUGCAUUGCAUUUACACUUGAAUGGACAAACUCUUCUUAUGGACAACCAAAAAAGGCUCCCAAAAGUGGUCGCAGAGUGUUGUUGCUCCAUCAGCAGGCAUUCAGCACCCACAGACAACCAGAUAAUUUAGUUGGAUCACUGUUGAACACACAAAUACUUCUCUCCCACACUCAUAGAAAGAGCAAUGCAAGUGAUACAAGAAAGCAAGGGGAACUUUAUUUGAGCCAAGAAUUAAGUCCUUCAAAUGUGCAACUUCAAGUAUAUCUUCCAUCUCCAAUCAACCUGUGGUAAUGAAGUACAGCAGCAGUCGAGGAGUUCAUAUGAAGAUGCCUACCAGAAACCAUUGAUGCUUCUCUCCGGCAGGAACAGAGAUCAGACAUCAGAUUCAUGUCAAUUCAUUCAGAAGACUGCAGAUCAUAGAUGUUAAAAAGUUAUUUAGGCUCUCAAAGAAGAAUAACUGUAAGGAUUAAGAGAUAAGGAAUUCACAUCGAGGUGUUAGCCAUCCUAGAAAACUUCAUCAGCUUCUCUCAGUCGGUAUGUUUAUGCAUACCUGUGAUUUUGUUGAUGAGCUGCUUCUCACGAGAAUAACUGUUUUACAGACAACAGCUUAAAAUUUAAAAUCUCAUCUAAUAAAUUUUAACACUACUUGAGGAGGAUCUCAAUAAAAUCAAAAUCAAAAUUAAUACAAAAAUAUGCGGUGUUCAUCGCAUGUCUGACCAACUCCAUUCAUGAACAAAGCCAGAGUUGUGGUAUGCUCUUCAUCCAAUAAGUUCAUCUACAUUUUGGCUUCUUCUUCCUGUCUGACCGGCGCAGGUCAUACAUGAGACAACCAGGAAAGAGAAAAACACCAUUAAAAGAGACUUUCAUGUUCUGGCUGACAUGAUGCUUCCCAGAAGUCUCCAAUCCAAUCUUAAACCAAGUGUAGAUGCCACUCUCUCUUUGACUGCUUAACGCAAUGGUAAUAAUUAUAGUUGUCAUGACCAAAUUAGGUCUUCUUUUAAAAGUUUUAUAGAGCUUUACUAAUAACCAUAGUCCGAUAAGAUUUUCUUAACUAUACGAGGAAAUCUCUUUGAGAAAAAUCGAUAGUUUAUCGUAACAUUCUGGGUUUUGAGUUCAAAUUUUAUUUUUAUUAUUUUUUUUAAAAAAUAAUAUAUAACUAUUCUCAUCAAGAAUUAGAUGCUCAUAAGGAAUUGUUUGUUUGUUGUCUACUUCUUAAUUAUGAUAUAAUACUAAAUAUGCUUAUUAAUUACUAAAAAUUAAUAAACAAUGAGGAGUAGUAACGUAUUUGAAAAGGCGUUUGUUAGUCUAAUCGAUAAGGACGGGCUCAAAUUCUAUGUUUAGAAUAUAUUCUUUGAAAAAAAGAAAUAAUACACAAACUAUUCUCGUAAAGAAUUAGAUGUUCAUAAGGAAUUGUUUGUUUUGUUGUAUCAAUAAACAAUGAGGAGUUGUAUACUAAAAAAAUAAUAAAAAAUGUAGGACCAAAAUAUUAUCCCUUCCAUUGACUUCGCCCACAAAAUUCGACCAUUAUCAUCUUCAUGAAGGCCAUCUUUUUGCGCGCCAUGCUCAAAUAAAAUACUAACCACACAACAGGGGCGCCGGCACCGGACGGCUACUUGCGCGGCUUUGACCGCUUCCUCUUCCUCCUCCUCCUCCUCCUCCUCCUCACCUUCGUGCUCUCUGGAGACUCGAGCGAGAGGAGAUGAGGGAAGGGUUGCUAAUCCCAGGAGUGGCACUCCUGCUGUUUUUGUCUUCGUUAGAAGAGGGUUCGGGGCAGCUGACGGAGCCCAGCUUCGGCAGAGCUGACUUCCCUUCAGACUUCAUCUUCGGAGCUGGGACGUCGUCUUAUCAGGCAAAUCUCUGCGCACUGGCUUCUCAUCUCGUUCCAUAGUGGGGGUGUUAAAAAAAAUCCUCGAUCACCGUCCAUGACCUGUUCUUUAUGGAUUCUUAGUAAGGAUGUUUUCCCCCUUUGAUGAUGCUUACUGGGUAUCACUCAGUGCACUCUCACAUGCUUUACUGCAAAUCUUACCUAAUUAUGUGCGAGACAGCCCAUCACUCCAUCUAUUCGUCAUCUUCUUGAGUUUUUCUUGAUAUGAGAUAUAGCAGAGAGAACAUGAGAGAUUGCGGAGAGAAAAGAGGUGAAGGGGGAUGGAGAUGAAAAAGGUAUAUAACUGAGAUUGCAUAUGUAGGUGGAGGGAGCAGUAUCUGAGGAUGGAAGGAAACCAAGCAUUUGGGAUACCUUUACCCAUGCAGGUGAACAUUCCUUGUUUCCUCUUCAAUUUCUUCACUUGGUAUUAUUAUUUACCAAACUAAUAAAUAAUACGUAUGUUAAAUUAAUUUCCAUGCACAAAGAGUUUGAAAUCUGGAACUCUUGUAAUUUGUUGUUAUUUUUGGGAUGAAUAACUUGGGGAUUUGAAUGGGGAUGAUGAAUGUUUCAGGGCGAACGCUGGACAAGAGCACAGGAGAUGUGGCUUCUGAUGGCUACCACAAAUACAAGGUCUGUAACUUCUACCUUAAUCUAUGGAAAAAAAUAAAAGAAAAGAAAAUAGAAUUCUUCAUUUAAAGGUGUCACAAAAUUACUAGUUCGAAUUCCUUGUUCUAUCGUGCCAAAUUGUCUUGACAAACCAUGUUUCUGGCUCCAACACUGUGGAAAAAGGAAGAAGGAUUUAUCCAUAGAAAUCAAAACAUGUCCCAUGUUAAUGCCAUCUAUGAAGACAAACAUAAAAUAGAACAGUAAUAUAUGUAGUAAUUUCUUCUUAAGUUGUAAAAGUAAAUAUAUAGUAGCUUGGUUCGUUCAUGGUUAUGCAUAGGACACAUACAGAAGGUUUUAAUCAUACCUAAGAUAUUUUCACUGGAAGCAAAAUGGCCAUGACUCAAAUUCUCGUUCUUUACAACUGUGUGGUAGAUAGGGAGCCCUUUGGAAAUAUAUGGUCACAAGAAGAAGGGGAUCUAAAUUUCUUUAUAAACCUUUUUCUUUGAAGCCUACUCAUCAUAGAUUUCUCUGACUGGUAAACUUUUAGUCUCUACAUGGCCUGACCAGUUCUUGGAUCGGAAAUUGACCAUGAUGCAAUAACCUGUUUUUUCACCUACAACUCGGUUUCAAGAAAAUAUGCACUUAUGCUGUCCCAUAAAAGUCAAAGAAGAGACACUUUUGAUCACAAUAUUAGAAGCUUUAAGCAUACUUUCAUACAUCCCUCACUAAUGUUUGCUCCUCAUAUUUAUCCAAUUAUAAUUGCCAAUGAGAUAUGUAUGACAUAGCCAGCAUUUCUAAAGUCCUCUAUGUUUACAUAUUAAUAAGGUGGGUUUUUCCCCUGUUGAAACUUGAAAAAACAAAGAAGUAGAUUUCUGAGUUUUGCUGAUGAUUACUUUGGUGAAUUUUCAUCGAAAACCAUUUAUUGAAUUCUUAGGAGGACAAAUGCAGUCAUCAGAAACUUGUUCUGAAACUUUGCCCUUUUCCUUAUAUGAAUAUGGGAUAUAUGAAGAAUAGUUACACUAUUUCAGCAAAGAAUUUCAGGAUGAAAAAAGAUUGUUUUGUUAAAAUAUGUGAUAUGUUGAAGGAACACCACCAAAGUUUAUAAAUGUGUGAUCAGUUGGUUCUUCAAGUUCUUAAACUCAUCAAUACAAGAAAAAAGAAGGAAAAAAAAAAAGUCUUGCUCUAGCUAUACCAAUAUUGACAUUUCCACCUAUUGUAAGUUUAUUAGCUACCAGUUCUAUUAUUAACUUUUUUGCUUAUUUAUGAUCCAAGAAGUCUUCUCUGAUAUAUAUAAACCAUGGCCUACUGCAAUUUAAGAUACAAAUUUUCUUAUAAGCCACCACUAAGUUUAAGAUUAUUAAGAUCGUGUAAUGAGUAUCCAGAUAAAAGAUUUUCAAAGACAUAGGCUUAAUCAUCAGGCGUGAGUCUUUUUUACAAGUGAGGUAAUAUUUCAGGAAGAUGUCAAGCUGAUGGCUGAAACAGGACUGGACUCCUACAGAUUCUCCAUCUCUUGGUCCAGACUUAUCCCAAGUAUGACUUGAUCGAAACUUUUAGAUCUCAUACAAAAGUGGUGUUGUUUAUGUGAUGUUACUUGUUCUGCAGAUGGUAGAGGAGCUGUUAAUCCUAAAGGCUUACAGUUUUACAACAACUUGAUUGACGAGCUAGUAAAAUAUGGUGAGUCUUUCUUUUAAGUGUGUUUUCAGUAUGUGUGAUUAUGCAAUUAUAAUCUGCCUCUCAACUGGAACAGCCAACCAAUUAGACGACAAAUCAACACUACUGAUGAAUGAUCAUGUAUGAAAAAUGCUUAAACUUCUCUUCUUGAAAAUUAUACCUUUAGUGAGGCAAUCAUUUCUUGAACUAGAUUGGAAUGAACUAUGAAACUAUCCAAUAAGCUUCAAAUUGUAUCUGUUCAUAGCUAAAUCAUUCCCGAGUGUUACUCUCCGAAUAUUAAAUUGAACUGGCAAACUCUAUAAUUAAAACUAAAUCAAUCUUUUGCAAAGAAGCUCGAUGAAUGAUAAAUGAGGGAGAAUAAUAAGAGAUAAAAAAAAAGAGAAUGUAUAUUUUGCAUACUCAAAGAGAUAAGACAUUCUUUUGUGCAUGAUGCAAGUAGAUAAUUCAUACUUGAUAAUUAUAUGUUUCGCAAUUAUAUAAACACAUAAUAGCUGCAAGAAAGAUUAAAAAACAAAAACAAGAAACAAUUAUUUCCAGUAGCAGUAAGCAAUGUGAUAUUUAAGAUUUGAAUUCUGUUUGACAAUGGAUUUUUAUGAUAGUCAAUAUCCAAUCCUUGUUCAUAAAUUUAUUCCUUUCCUGAAUGCUGUAGGAAUCAAACCUCAUGUGUCACUAUACCAUCUUGACCAUCCCCAAGCACUUGAAGAUGAGUAUUCAGGAUGGUUGAGCCCCAAAAUGGUGUAAGAUGUCCUUCGAUGACUAGCAUACUUCAUUGUUAUUACUCAUUAGUAAACUUCCUCAAUCCCCAAAGUAAUUGUGAUAAUCUCAGCCAAUUAAGCUGAUAUGUAAAGAUAUGCUUCAGGGAUGAUUUCACAGCAUUUGCAGAUGUUUGCUUCAAGAAUUUUGGUGACAGAGUUCCUCGGUGGACGACUGUUGUCGAACCCAAUAUAAUGUCACUGGGUGCAUUUGACGUGGCAAUACUUCCACCAAAUCGAUGCUCUUAUCCAUUUGGCAUCAAUUGCACCGUAGGAAAUUCGACGACAGAGCCCUACAUUGUGGUUCACAACGUCCUAUUAGCCCAUGCAUCGAUCGUCAAAUUAUACAAAAGAAAAUAUCAAGUAAGUCAUUUGUCUUUUUCACUUUGUGCUAUCCACCAUUUGACCAUAUCAACAUUGAUUUUAUACAUUUACCAUUUAUACAGGCAGAGCAAAAUGGGUGGAUAGGCAUCAACGUAUAUACUUUCUGGUAUUAUCCACUCACUAACUCUUCUGCAGACAUUAAGGCAACCCAAAGAAUGCUCGAGUUUUAUGUUGGCUGGUAUUCUACUUAAUUCAGUGCGCAUUAUCUUCUAGUCUCACACGAUGGUGUUCUAACGAGCCAUCCACUAUUAGGAUCCUAAAUCCGUUGGUGUUUGGAGACUAUCCUGAGGUCAUGAAGAAGAUCGUCGGCUCGCGACUCCCAUCCUUCACCAAAUCUCAGUCUAAACAAAUAAAGGGCUUAUUUGAUUUCAUUGGCGUGAAUCACUAUUAUUCAGUAUAUGUCAAAGAUAACAUCAAUGCUUCUGAGAUGGGUCUUCGCGACUUUGUUAUGGAUUCCUUAGCCUUGAUGUUAAGUAAGUUAUUCUCUUGCUCUUUUGGUUCAGAUUUGCAUUGUGUUUUCAACUUUAGUGAGCUACUUACUACUGAUGCUUCGAUGCAGCUUCAAGGAAUGAGACACCUGGCCAGGUAAAAAUAGUAGAGUUAAUCUUCCUACCAUGUAGUUUCUUCACCGUGAAUACUUGAAACGGGCUAACAUCUGCUGCAACAUAAACAGUAUGACCCUACGGCACCUUCAUCAUUCGAUCCUCAGGGGCUGCAAUACAUGUUGGAGUAUCUCAGAGAUGCCUACGGAAAUCCUCCUCUUUUUGUUGAAGAAAAUGGUCAGUUCAACCACUCCAAAACAAUGCCUUUUCAUCAUGGAUUAAAAGGAUGCUUUGUUUUUCAUCAAGUACCGUAAUUUCUAUCAGGCUAUGGCAUAGGAAGGAGAGAGAGCGGCCUUAAUGACACCGAUAGGAUCAAUUACCUGAAUGGCUUCGUCGGUAGCAUGCUCGAUGCUAUCAGGUCGAUAUUGAUAUCUUUAUUACGUGCAUAUGAUAAACCUCCAAGCAUAGGAAGUAAUGCUUUAGAUUUACCAUUAAGAUUUUUUGAGCUUUUAUUAAAAAUAUACAUAAAAAUUCAAAUAUUCUUUUGUUUGUAGGAAUGGAGUGAACGUGAAAGGUUACUUUGUUUGGUCGUUCAUAGAUGUCUUCGAGUUCUUGACCGGAUAUCAAUCUCGUUGCGGAUUGUACCAUGUGGAUUUUGACGAUGAAAACCGUAAAAGAAAGCCGAAGCUCUCUGCUGGUUGGUACUCUAAGCUUCUUGAAAGAAAGGAUGGCAUGAAACUGAACAAAACUGCAAUGGAUACAGAAUACCAUGCUCGGUGGUAAAAUUCCUCUGCACAAUUCCUGUGUUAAAUAGAUUAAGAUCACACGAGUGGGUCGAUUCAGUUUUCUCAAUUCCUGUAU